Molecule: transfer RNA, 23 nt
Filed under: Pristimantis sp. SBH-2008
Lineage: Eukaryota; Metazoa; Chordata; Amphibia; Anura; Strabomantidae
Description: partial tRNA-Phe
Source: RNAcentral
UGAGUCCUCAAAAACUCUUCAAA